This is a ribosomal RNA of Electrophorus electricus (electric eel), 119 nucleotides long. NCBI's taxonomy places the organism in Eukaryota, Metazoa, Chordata, Actinopteri, Gymnotiformes, Gymnotidae. The record is from Ensembl.
GCUUACGGCCACACCAGUUUGAGAACGCCCAAUCUCAUUUGACCUUUGAAACUAAGCAAAUUUGGACCUGGAUAGUACUGAGGUGGGACCCUACCUAGGAAUACCAGCUGCUGUAGGCU